AAAAGGGCACGGGGCAGAGGGACUAUGUUGUGAGCCUGCGAAAGAAGUUUGUGUGGGGACUGUGGGCAGUGAACGCGUUGGGAACAAUAUGGAAAACUGGGAGCCGCCUUGGAAUCUACAGGGCCGGGCUGAAGAAAAGAAGAAUGGUAUUCACGCAGUUCCCAUUUUACAGAUGAAAACAAGAGGACUUUUUCUGUGAAGUCAAGAAAGUGGUUACAAUGGUACUUUCAGCCUGUCCGAAUUAUGUAUUGCCCCUCCCCUUUUUAUUAAUAACAUUGAAGUGUGAUGGGACAACCACUGAAGCCGUCAGUUGAAACCUGCUGGGACUUUUUAGCCAUUCUCUUCAACAUAAAGAAUGGGUGUUUUUGGAGGGGGUGAGAGGAAUGGGGAAAUGUUGUCAAAGAGUACAACGUUUUAGUUGAGACAGGAAGAAUAUAUUUUGUUGAGAUCUACAGCACAGCAUGGUGACUGUAGUUAACAAUGAAGUAUUGUCUAUUUCCAAAUUGCUAAGACAAUAAAUUUCAAAUGUUCUCACCACAAAAAA
This 544-nucleotide long non-coding RNA is filed under the name Homo sapiens (human). Its description in RNAcentral is "non-protein coding PGM5P3-AS1:15". Lineage: Eukaryota; Metazoa; Chordata; Mammalia; Primates; Hominidae. The record is from RNAcentral.